RNAcentral lists this ribosomal RNA (253 nucleotides) under uncultured bacterium. RNAcentral describes it as "partial 16S ribosomal RNA". It matches the Rfam family "Bacterial small subunit ribosomal RNA", at positions 524 to 776 of the family's 1533-position model. The record is from RNAcentral.
GACAGAGGGGGCAAGCGUUGCUCGGAAUCACUGGGCGUAAAGGGCGCGUAGGCGGGCUGGCAAGUUAGUCGUGAAAUCUCUCGGCUCAACCGAGAAACGUCGGCUGAUACUGCCGUUCUUGAGGGAUGCAGAGGAGACUGGAAUUCCCGGUGUAGCGGUGAAAUGUGUAGAGAUCGGGAGGAACACCGGUGGCGAAGGCGGGUCUCUGGGCAUCUCCUGACGCUGAGACGCGAAAGCGUGGGGAGCGAACAGG